CCCUUAGAUGUUCUGGGCCGCACGCGCGCUACACUGUUCGACGCAGCGAGUCUUAACCUUGACCGAAAGGUUUGGGUAAUCUUCAGCAAAGUCGAACGUGAUGGGGAUCGAUCAUUGCAAUUAUUGAUCGUGAACGAGGAAUUCCUAGUAAGUGCAAGUCAUCAGCUUGCGCUGACUACGUCCCUGCCCUUUGUACACACCGCCCGUCGCUACUACCGAUUGAAUGGUUUAGUGAGAUCUCUGGAUUGACGCUGGCUAGGGGGCGACCCUUGGCCAGGCUGUCGAGAAACUGCUCAAACUUGAUCAUUUAGAGGAAGUAAAAGUCGUAACA
RNAcentral lists this ribosomal RNA (331 nucleotides) under uncultured eukaryote. RNAcentral's name for it is "partial 18S ribosomal RNA". It matches the Rfam family "Eukaryotic small subunit ribosomal RNA", at positions 1470 to 1796 of the family's 1831-position model. The record is from RNAcentral.